Dendronephthya gigantea is the source of this 381-nucleotide long non-coding RNA. RefSeq lists it as uncharacterized. The record is from RefSeq and is a predicted model, not a curated record. The transcript has 3 exons. Lineage: Eukaryota; Metazoa; Cnidaria; Anthozoa; Malacalcyonacea; Nephtheidae.
UCAGUUCAAUGCUCAUAACGCAUUACACAGUGAAAUUUCCCUAAAGUAAAUUAAGAAGAAGAGUGUGAAAUCCAGCUAAACAGAGGGAAUAUGAAGAUCGUUCAAGUGCUUGUUCUGGUAUUUGUUAUGAUAUACCUGGGGGAAACACGUCAUGUGCGCGAGAAAAGACAAGACCAGUGCUUUUGCUUCGACACGCACCAAGAAGGAAUCCUUUUUUUCGAUCAUUGUCCAGGGCACUUAGGAAGGUGUGAUCAUUCUGACUCCCCCUUUCCCGGUUAUGUUUGUUGCAUUUUUAACCGUUAGCGUUGACAAUACCUAUAUAAUGUUAAUCUCUUGAUAAUCAUAUUCAUGUUCGUGACGUAAAUAAAAGUUAAAAACCAG